UCGGGAAUUUUGGGCAAUGGGCGAAAGCCUGACCCAGCAACGCCGCGUGAAGGAUGAAGUAUUUCGGUAUGUAAACUUCGAAAGAAUAGGAGGAAUAAAUGACGGUACUAUUUAUAAGGUCCGGCUAACUACGUGCCAGCAGCCGCGGUAAUACGUAGGGACCAAGCGUUGUUCGGAUUUACUGGGCGUAAAGGGCGCGUAGGCGGCAAUUCAAGUCAUCUGUGAAAUCUCCGGGCUUAACUCGGAACGGUCAGAUGAUACUGCUUUGCUAGAGUGCAGAAGGGGCAAUCGGAAUUCUUGGUGUAGCGGUGAAAUGCGUAGAUAUCAAGAGGAACACCUGAGGUGAAGACGGGUUGCUGGGCUGACACUGACGCUGAGGCGCGAAAGCCAGGGGAGCAAACGGGAUUAGAUACCCAGGUAGUCCCUGAGCGGGCUGGCAAGGCGCAU
Molecule: ribosomal RNA, 447 nt
Filed under: uncultured bacterium
Lineage: Bacteria
Description: bacterial SSU rRNA
Rfam family: Bacterial small subunit ribosomal RNA
Source: RNAcentral